RNAcentral lists this non-coding RNA (135 nucleotides) under Helianthus annuus (common sunflower). Lineage: Eukaryota; Viridiplantae; Streptophyta; Magnoliopsida; Asterales; Asteraceae. The record is from RNAcentral.
AUAAUCACAUAAGACUUUGAGGAAUCGAAUGUUAUUCGUAAGUCCAAUCACGAGUGCCCGCUUAAGGUCGGCCCAAGUGGUCAAGCCUACGUCAUAAUUUGUGGCAGUGGGGGCUUGCGUUCGCGCAGCCCCUGC